RNAcentral lists this ribosomal RNA (497 nucleotides) under uncultured bacterium. RNAcentral's name for it is "partial 16S ribosomal RNA". It matches the Rfam family "Bacterial small subunit ribosomal RNA", at positions 28 to 507 of the family's 1533-position model. The record is from RNAcentral.
GAUGAACGCUGGCGGCGUGCCUAAUACAUGCCAGUCGAGCGAACAGACGCUGAGCUUGCUCCUCUGACGUUAGCGGCGGACGUGUGAGUAACACGUGCAUAACCUACCUAUAAGACUGGGAUAACUUCGUGAAACCGGUGCUAAUACCGGAUAAUAUCUUCAACCGCAUGGUUCAAUAGUUAAAGACGGUUUUGCUGUCUCUUAUAGAUGGUUCCGCGCUGCAUUAGCUAGUUGGUAAGGUAACGGCUUACCAAGGCAACGAUGCGUAGCCGACCUGAGAGGGUGAACGGCGACAGUGGAACUGAGACACGGUACAGACACCGACGGGAGGAAGAAGGAGGGAAUGGUGGGAAAGGGGGGAAAGAUUGACGGAGCAACGCCGCGUGAGUGAAGAAGGUCUGCGGAUCGUAAAACGCUGUUAGGAGGGAAGAACAAAUGUGGAAGGAACGAAGCACGUCGUGACGGUACCUAAAGAGAAAGCAACGGCUAACUACGUG